ACGGAAGGCAGCAGUGGGGAAUAUUGCACAAUGGGCGCAAGCCUGAUGCAGCGAUGCCGCGUGAGGGAAGAAGGUUUUCGGAUUGUAAACCUCUGUCAACAGGGACGAAAAUGACGGUACCUGUGAAGGAAGCUCCGGCUAACUACGUGCCAGCAGCCGCGGUAAUACGUAGGUUGCAAGCGUUGUCCGGAUUUACUGGGUGUAAAGGGCGUGUAGGCGGAGCUGCAAGUCAGAUGUGAAAUCCCGGGGCUCAACCCCGGAACUGCAUUUGAAACUGUAGCCCUUGAGUAUCGGAGAGGCAAGCGGAAUUCCUAGUGUAGCGGUGAAAUGCGUAGAUAUUAGGAGGAACACCAGUGGCGAAGGCGGCUUGCUGGACGACAACUGACGCUGAGGCGCGAAAGCGUGGGGAGCAAACAGGAUUAGAUACCCUGGUA
RNAcentral lists this ribosomal RNA (434 nucleotides) under uncultured Oscillospiraceae bacterium. RNAcentral describes it as "bacterial SSU rRNA". It matches the Rfam family "Bacterial small subunit ribosomal RNA", at positions 341 to 792 of the family's 1533-position model. Lineage: Bacteria; Bacillati; Bacillota; Clostridia; Eubacteriales; Oscillospiraceae. The record is from RNAcentral.